GCGAACCAGAAAGUUCUGCUCCUCCUUGUCUACCGUGCACGCUAUCCAUAAUGACAUCUCACGAAUCAUAUCGUGCAUCUUUACAUGAUCAUCGCCUUCUUCCUCCAAUAAGCAUGCAUGAAGAAGGUCAUCAAUAAAAUCGCAUCCACCAUCAAAAUCAUAUACAAAUCCUUCACUAAUCCAAUAAUCAAUCAAAUCCCUUUUAGGAAUUUCGUAGUCUUCAGGAUAUAAACAACAAUACAGGAGACAGGAACGAAGUUCGUCCGUAGACAAACUAUCAUAGCUGAACUUUAAACGCGAAAACACCUCUUCUUUCAUACCUGAGAAUUUAGAAGCUGAUGUUCUCAUUUUGUGAAUUGCACGUUUCCAAUCUCCAACUUUCCUUUGGCUUUUCAUGGCUCGACCCACUGUUUUAAGCGCUAGCGGCAACCCACCACACUCUCUUGCCAAGGUUUCGGCUAGCUCUGGAAUACCGGUAUGACUGUCCAGAGUGGAUCUGUCGACCAUCUCCUGAAAUAAUUCCCAGGCUUUAUCAUGCGCCAAACUAUACACUUCCACCUUUUCAGCGUCCAUUUGAUCGCAAACACCAGCUGAACGAGUUGUCAAGACUACUUUGGACCCAUCAUUUAGUUUUUGAAGAGGGACACCCAAUUCUGUUAAAUGAAUGGGUUUCCAUAUAUCAUCCAAUAACAACACAAACUUCCUUCUGCUUAAAAUGCUAGCGAUGUCCACAGCCUUGUCUUGAGGACUUUUUUUCGCCCAGCUUUGGUCUUCUGAAAAGCCAAUCCUUUUUCCAAUGUCAUCUUGAAGUGUUGACGCAGCCGCCCAGAUAACAACAUCAAAAUUAUGCUGUUGAUGGCAGAAGUUGUUGUUGACUUGUUUUAAAAGGGUAGUUUUGCCGACUCCCCCUAUACCAUACAAGCCGAUAAUUCCCCUGUUAUUUUCCUCAUCAGUGAUACAUCUCCAAACUCGAUCAAGUAAUAAUUCUUGACCAACAACUGUGUGCUCAACAGGUAAUUCAAUUGCUGCACCAUCCGGCGCCUUCUCAACAACCACUUCAAUUUUUUCUCCGUCUUUCUUUAAAUUGAUCACUCGAUCCGUCAACUCGACCACCUGAGUCCCGUAAUUGUAGCUUGAAACGAAGUUUUUGGAACAGAGGCCUCCAAGGCACAAUCUAUCGAUUUCAUGAGCUCUAACUCGUUCCAGCUCGGUAAAUUCAGUUUCCAGUUUUUGCACAUCUUCAAGCCACCCUGCGACCUGGUUCGUUCGUCUGGUUCGAGGUCGUUGUUCUUCGACCUCAACCUUGGUCUUCAGAUCGUCCCUUGCUCGAGUCAAUUUGUGCAAUUCAGUCUCCAAGACCCGAAGGUUUUUUUCGAGACCCCAUACAUAAUUUGCUUGUUCACCAACGCAGUUUGAAGUUCGAUCAAAUAAGUCUGCUGGUAAGAAGGUUGAGAUUAGGUUACCCAUUGUCGUUGACGAAAAGAGGAAGAGAAGCAACGAGUACAAUGAAAAGAAUUAAGCUAAUUUUUACUUAAAUUCUUAAGAAUUGCUGUCAAAUGCAAACAGAGUAUGAGAAUCAGGUCUUUAUUGAUUAUGAUGACUUGAAUGAAAAUGAAAUACAGAGCUUUGCUAGUUUACAUACAGAGACAAAAAAUAAUGACAGCUAGCCUAAGGGGUAUUACACGGAAGUAAUCAAAAUUGAUCCGUGAAUAUAGCAAUUGUGAACCAAUCACAUUAAGCUUCUAGAAGAUGCAACUAUUCAAUGCACAUGCGCUGCUAUUCUUCAACAUAACAGUUUUGCCAGCUCAACAAAUCCAACUCACAGAAUCAAGGUCAACCGUUGACUCUUCACAGCUGCUGCUUUCAACAAUUUUUAGAGAACCACAACACCAAAAUAAAAAUAUGAUACAUUUGUUGCUUUAUUCAUUAUGUCAAAUAUCAAGAAUAUAAUGAUACGUUUGCACGUCAUAUAAAAUUUGUAUUUCAACCAAGUAAUCACAUAGUUAAUAUUAAAUCUUAUCAUUUGUUAUCUAAGUGAUAAAUUUAUAUUGACAAUAUAUUAUUUAGAAUAAAAAUUUUCUACCUUAGGUUUGGAUGAAGAUCCAAAAUAUUAAGUCAAUGAUAGAUAGAUAAAAAAUAAAAUAAAAUAAAUUUUAACAUUAAUUUUUUAUUUAAUAAAAAGUAAAUUCAAUACAGAAUUCUAAUCCCUUAAUCUCUCUCCAUCCACGGCAAAAGAAAGCAGCAACUCAACUCUCUUUAAAGGCUAUGGAGGUUCUCUUGCGACCUCUCUUCAGCAUACCCUCCAGAACAUUAACCCCACCACCGCCAUCACCACCCUGUUAAACACGUUUUCAAAACGUGUAUAAUGUGGCCAUCUAAUUUAUUUUUAAUUAUUAGUUUUCUAAUUUAAAUUGAUAUUUAUCUUUAUUUAGUUUACUUUUAAAACGUUGGGUUUGGUUUAAAAUUUGAAUAAAGAUAAAACAUCUCUUCCUAAUAUCUCUCAUACACGUUACGGGUGGUUUACUAAAAUCAAGGGGAUAACGGCUCAUAACUUCCUCUUUUAUUUAAACUUGUCAUCUUGAUGGGAGAUGUUUUACGGUCACGUUUUUUCAAGAAAAAUAUUGAGGGUCCCUGGUCUAACAACAGAGCCUGUGUAUACCAUCUACUCUCAGGAAUUAAGUGUUGGAUAGACUAGAAAAUUCUGAGUACAAAGCAUGGCUUGUUUUCGUUGGUUUUGUUUGCAUUCCAGUAGAAAGGUUGUGUACAAUUGAAUUUGAUAACUAUGGCAGGAGGUAAGUUUUCUAACUUGUGCAUGAUGAAUAUAGUCUUUUACACCCCACCAAUCAUCUCACUCUCAAAACUCUCCAUUUUUGCCUCCAUUAAUUCCCACUCUCUCCAAAACCCUGAUUUCUUCCUCUUCUCGUUUCCUCUCGCCCGCCCCUGGUACGCCAAUUUCCAUUCUCUCGCUCUUUUUUUUGGCAAUUUUGGCUUGAGUUUUUUGGGUUUUUGGUAAUUUAUCUUUAAUUUUUGUGGGUAUCCUUCGUUUUUUUAGUUAUCAUACAUGAGUUGAGUAGUCGUAGACGAUUUUUUAUUGUUUUAAACUGAACGGAUUCUUUGUAUUUCGAAAAUGAAAUUCAUUGUUUGUGAAGUAACUUUUAAAGCUGUUGAGUUGAGUUUGAAAACUUAAUGUGCUUAAAUUUAUCUAUGUGGAUUUGAAUCAGUUAGACAAGCAGCACAGGAGAGCCAAUCGAGCGCGGAGGUGAAUGCCGAUAGAAGAGAAUGGUUUAUGCAAGGUACAUUAAUAGUAAUUUGAUCUGAUGCCAAUUUUAUUUCUAUAUUAAUUUAUUAGAUUAUGUAAUGUUAUAAAUUCUUUGUUCAAAAUGUAGAGCUUGGAAAUUUAGUCGGUACAUUAUGGUAAUGAAUGUAGCUUGUGUAUCUGUUCAAAUUUAUGUCUAGCUUUGCUGUUUUGGUAAUGGUUUGUUUAGUAUAAAUUUUGUGUUGGUUAUGAUGUUGUUUAGUGGUUUGGAUCACUCGUGCUCUUUUGGCCCCCACUAAAAUUAAUUUUUCAUCAAAGGAUAUGAAUAGUUGUUCGAUGGAAACUUAAUGGAAGAUGUGGGAGCAUCUUUAUGAGUUAAGAUUCCCUGUAGCGAGUAUAUCCUUUGGUGCAUGAGAGUUUAAGUGAUUAUCGUCAUUGUUGAGUUAAACAAUGGGAUUAAUUUUCAUGUUCAUGUAAGGUGAUCAUCGCUAAAGUUAGAGCCAUUAGGUGAUAAAUUGAUACUUCAUUGUGUUGUUAUGUUUGUUAUACUGGAUAAAAAUCCCAGUGAUAGAAUUCAUGUUAGGCGGUUUUGGGUCCUAUUCAAUCCCAAAAGAUGAAUAAGGGGUGAGGCUUUCCCUCACAAUUGUAAAAUCACCACCAUCCUAGUUCACAACCGAUAUAAGACAACCCAACAAUCUCUCCCGCACAUAUUGGGCCUUGGUUCAAAAGCAUGGACACUCGUUUUCACUAGUAGGCUGUUGGACUGAGAUGUUGGUGAAUCUUUUAGUUGAUUUUUUUUUUUUUAUAAAAAGGAAAAGAUUAUGAAGAGAUAAAUACAAUAAAGAAAAAAAGAGAUCAAUAUUGCAAUAAAACAUUUAUGUAGUGAUAUUUUAUAUAAGAAUAAUUUCAUAUAGCUAUAAAAGUAAUGGUCCUAAUUUAUAUUAGGCCAAUUAUAAAUAAGAAUAAAUUUCAUGCUGUAAUAAUUUAUAAUUUUGCUAAAUCUCACCUUAAGGAGCUCACCUCCACGUAGUGUAAAUAUAUAUAUAGAAAAAAAAAAUAUGUUAUAUUACAUUAAGUGAACUUGGGGGUUGUUUGGUACCCCUCUUUACCUGGGAUUGCAUUGUGUUAGCAAUGCAACCCCAUGUUUGGGGUACCAAAUGGCUAUAUUAGCUAAACUCGACAUAUAGUCGGGUUUAGCUAAUGCGUCCAGUUACCGCAUUAGCUUUAGCUUCCUCUUUUUUUUUUUUUUUAUACUUUGUAAUAAUGAUAAAUGAAUAUAAUUUUUAAUUUAAUAUUAUAUAAUAUUAUUUUUACUUUAUAAUUUUAAUAUAAAUUAAUAAAUUUAUUGUUUAAUAAUAUUAUAUUAUAUUUUAAUUUUUAUCAUAGUAAAUGUACAACUAAAAAAUGUAUUAUUUAAUUAUAUUACAUUAAUUAAUAUGUAAAAUUAUAUUAAUUAAUAUAUAUAAUUGAUUAAUUUUUAAUAAGUUAAUAUAACUAAUAAUAAAUACUUAAAUAAUAUAAUAUAAUAUAAUAUUAUUUAAUUUAUUAAAAUAAUUAAACUAGUUAUUUUUAAAUAAUUUAAUAUAACUAAUAAUAAAUAUUUAAAUAUGAAUAAAUUUGAAUAAUAUUAAUUAAAAAUUAAUAAAAUAUAUAAUUAUUAGAUUGUUUAGCACAAUUCAUUUUUUAGCACAAUUCAUUAGUAUUUUCUAAAUAUAUAAUUUAAAUUAGUCACAAAAAAUUAAUACAAUAUAGUGCAAUAUCAAAUAUAAUAUAAUUAAAAAUUAAAUAUAAUACAGUAUAGUACCAAACAUUAUACAACAUUAUUAUAAUACAUUACUAAUACAACACAACAUAAUGCAAUACACCUGCAUUAAAAUAAUGCAAUACAAUAUAAUAUAAUACAGCGUGCCAAACGCACUCUUGUAUCCAUAUAGUACAAAAACAACAUAAGAGAAAAAUGUUAAAGAGAACACAAAAGUUCAGAGACUUUUAAGAUAAUGUUUUAUAUUUGUAACAAGCAUGUGCUAACUUUUUUGAAACCAUGUAUAUUUAUUUUUUCCCUAAGUUACAUGCAUGUAACUUAGCAUUAGCCUCAUUUUAUUAUUAUCUAUACAUUGGAUUUGACAUGUUUCAUUAAUAAUUUAUUACUACAUCUCUAUUAAAAUAAUUGAGGUCCUGCACUUUCAUUGGAAGAUAGGAGAAAAAAAUAAUUGAUAAGAGAAGAAAACAAUUUAAAAUAAAAUUUUAAAAUAUUUAUCAUUACUUAAAAAAAUUAAUUUUCUUUUCCUAAAGUUAUUCCACAGACGGUAGUACAAAAUUAUGUGAUCACGCACGCACACAGUGAUAGGGUAAUUAUUGAAACAAAAAUGAAAUUUGUCUGUUUUCCAUUUGAAAUCUAUUACUAAUAUAAAGGAAAAGAAAAAUCUUUAAUUACUUUUUUUUUUUUUCAUGUAGGGCAAGGCAAACAUCACUAUCUUGUUAAAUUAAUAUUUAAAAUUAUCCCACCAAAUGUAAUUAUAACAAAUUAAAUAAAUAUUUACUAUGAGUUCAGCAUCUGGGUUCCCACUCCAUAAAUAUGCCAGCAUUUUAAAACAAACAAGACUUAGAGUGUGUUUGGGAUUGAGGUGCUGUAGCUUUUAAGCUACAGCUGCUGUGAAAAAAAAACUGUAAUUAUGAAACAAAAUUUAAUAAUAUAUAGUAAAUAUAAAUUUUAAAUAAUAAUUUUGAUAAAAAUAUUAAAGAUAUAAUAAAUUUUAUAUUAUACAAGUGAAAAAUCAUAUUAACAUAGCUUAAAAGCUACAGCAGCUAGUGUUUACCAAACACUACAGCUGCCCAACCUCAAUCCCAAACGCACUCUUAAGCGACAAAUACAAUUUUGUCAAUGAGUAUAAAGGUCGCAUUAUAAGCCAAAGGAGAGCAGUUAAGGGAAGAUAAAAUAUUAUUGUAUUGAACUGGUUAUUUCUCUCUAGGGGUGGCAAAAAAGUCUGGGCUGGUCUAGGCCCGCGGGCCUAAAGCCCGGCCCGUAAGGGUGGGCCCAGAUAUUGGCCUAAAAAUUACAAAGCCCACAUAUGUGGGAUCUGGACAAGGGCUUAGCAAAAAAGCCCGGACUUGGCCCAGGCUUUUUAAAUUUAUGAAUAAAAAAUAAAUUUAAUUUAAAUAAAAAAAGAAAAAACUCAAAAUAUUAAAUUAGUUUAAUUUUUUAUAUUAGUAUUUGUUAUUUUAUUAGGUUGUAUUAUUAAUAUUUUAUGUAUUGGACUAUUAUUCUAUUUUAUAUAUUAGAUGAUUAUCUUUAAUUUAAAUUUUUUCUUAAUUUAAAAAAUAUUUUAUAAUUAAUUUAAAAAGCCCAAGCCCGGCCCAGGCCCGGCCCGAGUUCGGUCCGUCCAAAUUUAAACGGGUUUUUGAAGGGCCUGGACUUCGUUUGAAUGAUGUGGGCUUGGGCCUGGGCUUUGAAAAGCCCGGCCCAAACCCGCAAAUUGCCAUCCCUAUUUCUCUCUCUUCUAUUAUUAAUUUGUUGUUAAUUAUAACCUUUGCGGGAUUUAAAAAAAAGAAAAAGGCCCUUGCGUUUUCAUCAACAUUACACUGCCAAAUGUGAAAUGGAUUGAGAACCACAUGUCCUUAUUAUGCUGCCACUCCACAAAUGUUUAUUUUCCCCUCAUUCUCCUUAGAAGCCAGAGGCAGAGUCAGUCCUGCACCCCUUUACGUAUGCCUUCUCCAUAAAUUAACAUAAACGAUUAGUAUUAGAGCUGGCAAAAUGGGUCAUCGGGUCGUGUUUGUAUUGUGUCAGCUUCGUGUCGUGUCAAAUUUAGGUCGACCCAUACUCGACCCAUUUAAUAAUCGUGUCAAAAUAUUGAGACACAAACCCGACACGGAAAAAUAAUCAGGUUAUCCAAUAACCCGCUAUCUAUAUAUUAAACAAAAGUUACAUCAAAUAUUUACACAUUUUCAUACAUACGUAUGCGCAUACAUACAUACAUAAUUUAUUGAUAUUAUAAAAUAUACAUAUCUACUAAAAUAUUAGACACACUAUUGAGGUUUUAAUUAUAUAUGUGUAAAUAAUAUUAUAUAUCAAUAUUAUAAAAUAUAUAUGUCUACGAAUAUUUUAUACAUUUAUACUAGCUCUAAAUGUAUUUAAAAAUUCAUAAAUAAAAUAUUAUGUCUAUAUUCAUCCUUUUAAAGAAUUAAAAAAAAUCAUCUCUAAUAUUUGAGUUUUGGUGACAAGAAUUUACAAAUUAUUUUAAAAUAGAAAAUAUAAUCGGGUCAUUGAUCGGGUAAAUGGGUCAAGAAUUUUAACUCUAACCCGACACGAAAAAAAAUCGUGUUGACCCGGACCCGACCCAUUUAAUAAUCGUGUUAAAUUCAACGACUCAUACCCAUUUAUUAGUGUUGUGUUCGUAUUGGGUAAUCGGGCCGUGUCAAAUUUUGCCAUAUCUAAUUAGUAUAAGAUGAUUUAACCACACAAUAUGUCAAAUUUACAUUUUGCAAUCAUUGAUACUUGGUGCUACAGUCAAAUUUAUAUUUAUUCAAGGUAGCGGGUUCAAUAAUUAAAUUCACAUAAAAAGAAAGAUGCAUUCACCCUUAAUGGCCCAGGAGCCAACCAAAUUCCGCGUCCGCGAAGUGAGGCACUUUUCUUAAAGUUAUUUCACAGACGGAAGAACAAAAUUCUGUGAUCACGCACAAAGUGAUAGGGCAAUUAUUGAAACAUAAAUAAUGUCUAUUUCCCAUCCGAAAUCUGUUCUAAUAUAAAGGACAAGAAAAAGUUUUAAUUAUUAUUAUUAUUAUUUUUCACGUAGGGCAAGGCAAACAUCACUAUCUUGUUAAAUUAACAUUUAACAUUGUCCCACCAAAUAUAAUUAUAACCAAUUAAAUAAAUAUUUACUAUGAGUUCAGCAUCUGAGUUCCCACUCCAUAAAUAUGCCAGUAUUUUAAAACAAACAAGACUUAAGCGACAAAUACAAUUUUGUCACCGAGUGUAAAGGUCGCAUUUUAAGCCAAAGGAGAGCAGUUAAAAGGAAGAUAAAAUAUUACCGUAUUUCUCUCUCUUCUAUUAUUAGUUUGUUGUUAAUUAUAACCCUUUUCGGGAUUAAAAAAAGAAAAGAAAAAGGCCUUUGCGUUUUCUAUUAGCAUGUGUACAUGUUUAUUUUCUGUGUUAGUAGUGCAGAGUAUAUACUGAACACACUGGACAAAAAGGGUAAUUUGUAAUCAAUUUAGUUUUAUAAACAUUAAUCUCGGAAGUAGUUACUGAACUUCAUGUGGAAAAAAAAAUAAAAAAAGAUAGUCGCUGAGCAAUAAAUCUACAAGUCAUCAAAAUCGAGCAAUUCUAUGGCAAGAAUUCUUUCCAGUGGGAGGAUUCUAAAACCAAGAAUCCACUGCUGAAAUUUUAUUCACUGAAAAUAGGGAACGAUUGACACACCAGACAACAAGAACAAGAUGCAAUUAAAUCUAAUGAAAAUUAAAAAAAGAAAAAAGAAAUACAUAUUCAAACAUAUUAAUGAAAAUCAUCCCCAAGUACGACACCGGAAGAGAAAGCAUUUUGGGUGGCUUGAUCCUCCCAUUGUAGCUCUUCCCACCAUUCUUUCUCUCCCUCGAUGACAACUCGACGUUCCUUCACGCUGCUGGAAUUGACUGGGAGCUUCUUCAGCUGUGGGCAUCCACGUACUUGAAUUUUCUUCAGCUUUGGAAGGGGCAGGGGAUUCGGGUAAACGCUCUUUAAAUUUCUUCCCCACUUUAUGGUUAGAGAUUCGAGUUGUGCAAAAAAGUUAUGCUCUGACCCGAUUAUCUCCGAAAUAUCUCUCAAUUUAUCAACACUAAUUAUUUCUUCCAUUUCUGUACAAAAGACUAUACGCAGCUGCUUGAGAAUUUGAACAAAAACUAGCCACGUUAAGUCUUUCAUUUUUUUGCAACUGCUUAUGACAACUCUGUCGAGACUGCGGAAACCACUUUGAAAAAGCUUCUUCACCUCUUCUGUGCUGUCAAUCUUCAUCUCUUCCAAGUUAAUGUCUUCAAGAUCUAACUCCUGAAGAUUCUCCAUGUAUGCGAGAUGUAAGAGAUUGAACGGUGCACUUUUACAAUGGUAAACCAAUACAAAUUGAGUGAUGCUCACCAGCUUUGGAUAUUUCAAAAACUUUUGGACAGCAAGUGAACUUCCGAAGGACCAGCUUAAAACAUUUAAAUGCUUCAAACCCAGCAAUUCCUUCAUCAAAGGUUCAGCACCAUCACAUAGAACGUUACCUUCUUUCCCUUUUAUUACCGAAAGCGACCGCACCCACGCAACCUGAGUACCUCCAACUUUGAAAAGCCAGAUAUCAAUUCAUGUGGAAUUAUAGACAAAUGAAAUGCAUAGUCCAAGUUCAAAUAUCUCAGCUUCUCCAAUGCCUUCAGCUCUUGCGGCAACCCAGUUAUGUCAGUCGAUGAAAGAUCAAGAUGAUGUAAUGAAACCAAACUUGAAAUCCCUGAAGGUAGUUUACUUAGGGAAAGAUUUAUUCGUAGACUUAAUACUCUAAGAGAAGACAUCGAUUGAAAGAAGCCAUCAGUAAUCUCCUCAAUCCAAUUUCCAUCCAGAAGUAAAGUGACGAGACGUGGACACGUGGGAAUUUCCGAUAGGCUUUGAAUUCUAGUUUUCAUCAGAGAUAUCCGUUUGGCACCUUCCCAUUCUUCAACCUUUGGUGCUUCGGUCAGUUUAACUCCAGCGUGAACCAGAAAGUUCUGCUCCUCCUUGUCUACCGUGCACGCUAUCCAUAAUGACAUCUCACGAAUCAUAUCGUGCAUCUUUACAUGAUCAUCGCCUUCUUCCUCCAAUAAGCAUGCUUGAAGAAGGUCAUCAAUAAAAUCGCAUCCAUCAUCAAAAUCACACACAAAUCCUUCACUAAUCCAGUAAUCAAUCAAUUCCCUUCUAGGAAUUUCGUAGUCUUCAGGGUACAAACAACAAUACAGGAGACAGGAACGAAGUUCGUCCGUAGACAAACUAUCAUAGCUGAACUUUAAACGCGAAAACACCUCUUCUUUCAUACCUGAGCAUUUAGAAGCUGAUGUUCUCAUUUUGUGAAUUGCACGUUUCCAAUCUCCAACUUUCCUUUGGCUUUUCAUCGCUCGACCCACUGUUUUAAGCGCUAGCGGCAACCCACCACACUCUCUUGCCAAGGUUUCGGCUAGCUCUGGAAUACUGGUAUGACUGUCAAGAGUGGAUCUUUCGACCAUCUCCUGAAAUAAUUCCCAGGCUUUAUCAUGCGCCAAACUAUACACUUCCACCUUUUCAGCGUCCAUUUGAUCGCAAACACCAGCUGAACGAGUUGUCAAGACUACUUUGGACCCAUCAUUUAGUUUUUGAAGAGGGACACCCAAUUGUGUUAAAUCAAUGCGUUCCCAUAUAUCAUCCAAUAACAACACAAACUUCUUUCCGCUUAAAAUUCUAGCGAUGUCCGCAGCCUUGUCUCGAGGACUUUUUUUCUCCCACCUUUGGUCUUCUGAAAAGCCAAUCCUUUUUCCAAUGUCAUCUUGAAGUGUUGACGCAACCGCCCAGAUAACAACAUCAAAAUUAUGCUGUUGAUGGCAGAAGUUGUUGUUGACUUGUUUUAAAAGGGUAGUUUUGCCGGCUCCCCCUAUACCAUACAAGCCGAUAAUUCCCCUGUUCUUUUCCUGAUCAGUGAUACAUCUCCAAACUUGAUCAAGUAAUAGUUCUUGACCAACAACUGUGUGAUCAAGAGGUAAUUCAAUUGCUGCACCAUCUGGCGCCUUCUCAACAACGACUUCAAUUUUUUCUCCGUCUUUCUUUAAAUUGAUCACUCGAUCCGUCAACUCGACCACCUGAGUCCCGUAAUUGUAGCUUGAAACGAAGUUUUUGGAACAGAGGCCUCCAAGGCACAAUCUAUCCAUUUCUUGAGCUCUAACUCGUUCCAGCUCGGUAAAUUCAGUUUCCAGAUUUUGCACAUCUUCAAGCCACCCUGCGACCUGGUUCGUUCGUCUGGUUCGAGGUCGUUGUUCUUCGACCUCAACCUUGGUCUUCAGAUCGUCCCUUGCUCGAGUCAAUUUGUGCAAUUCAGUCUCCAAGACCCGAAGAUUUUUUUCGAGACCCCAUACAUAUUUUGCUUGUUCACCAACGCAGUUUGAAGUUCGAUCAAAUAAGUCUGCUGGUAAGAAGGUUGAGAUUAAGUUACCCAUUGUCGUUGACGAAAAGAGGAAGAGAAGCAAUGAGUACAAUGAAAAGAAUUAUGCUGCUUUGGAGAGGGUUAUAUUUGGAGAAGCACAAUACCGAAAUAAAAAUAUGAUACAUUUGUUGCUUUAUAAUUCAUAUGUCAAAUAUCGCGAACAUAAUGAUACGUUUACACGUCAUAUAAAAUUUGUAAUUCAUUUCAGUAAUGACAGAAUUAAUAUUAAAUCUUAUCAUUUAUUAUUUAAGUGAUAAAUUUAUAUUGAGAAUAUUUAUUUAGAAUAAAAAUUUUGUGCCUUUACUUUGGAUGAAGAUUCAAAAUAUUAAGUCAAUGAUAGCUAGAUAAAAAAAUAAAAUAAAAUAAAAUAAAUUUUAACAUAAAUUUUUUAUUUAAUAAAAAAUAAAUUCAAUAUAAAAUUCUAAUCCCUUAGAUUUACAAGUGCAAUCAUUGAUGAUGUAAAGAAUUAUUAUUUUUUUGGUUAAAAUACUAAGAUAUGGACAGUCAAUCAUUAGCCAUAUGGAUUCAAUUUCUUGAUCGACCAAAAACCUUGUUUCGACUGAAAUCUAUACGUGCAAGUGAACAUAAAUGAACAAGCUUUCAUCUGGAUUUACAGAGUGUGAAGUAAAUGGUGCGCGGUUGGAGGGGGGGGGAGCUUAAAUGGCAUGUUUUAUUCAAACGAUGCUGCAACUGCAGUUCUUAGUAGUUGGAUUCAGAAAACUAAGCUUCGAUAUCAUGACAUAACAAAAGAUGCAAUAAAAAUUGCACGGACAUAAUAGUUGUCAUGCUUCCAUAACAACGUUACCAAGUCGGUAAAAGCUAGGAAUAACAAAACACAUAAAAGUAGUUUCAUAUUAGAGAAUAUCUGAAUUUCCUGGUUGGUGGAGUUUCUUUGAUGAUCUUGUUCGAAAGCUAAUACCAUUCAACUCUAAAAUGUACCUCAAAGUAUCAAUCAUCUCAAUUAACUAGCCACAAAGUUUCCUUAGCUUGCCACAGUUCAGUUGUAGCAAACUACCAAAGCCCAUUUGACAAGCAGCCACUCUUUGUUCAUCUGUCAGCUGUGAAAGUGCCACCGCUAAUCUAUCUGGAGUCCAUCUGGUUAAGAACUUUGCCUUUGCGACUGCUGACUUCACUAUUCGUUCGCAUUGACUUUGUAUUGACAUUUUUUACCCGGCGGUAAAUUCUUAAACAUGGAUUCAAUUUCCGUCCAGUACACAAUCAUGGCAAAUAAACUAACUACGCCUUCACUACUUGAAAAUACAAAUUUAUUUUAUUUGUAACGCAAGUCAUUCCAUCGCUUGCCUUAACCUCACGCACGGCUUCACCGCUGCAAUAUCAUCAUAUGACUGCGAAAUUAUAUAUCUCUAUAAUUUUGUGAUGCAUAUGCAUUUUGCUUUUCAUGCCCUUGCAUUACUGAGCUGAUUUAUAUUCUCUGCUUGCAGUUUCAUUCACUAAUAUCCUUUAAUUGUUGUCAACGUCUUCUGGUCUAUAUUUGAUGAGCAUAGUAAAUACCUACUUUUGAUGCUCCAUAUACAAGUAUUAUCAGUCUGUUGCAAAUAGAUGUUUAUCACUAAUGUUGAAAUCGUAAAAUUUUAGACAUACUAGAACCUAAAAUCAAUGAUCCAAAGAGCCAUCGCCGUUUUUUGGAGCAGUUCUUGCAAUAGAUUCCCACUGUGGUUUUGAUUAAUUUGGUCAUGAUGCUUGUGUGCAGUGAUACUGGUAGGAAAGUUGAUGAUCCUGAGGUGCUUGAGGCAAUUCGUUUGACAGUUAUAAACAAUCUACUUCAGUAUCACCCAGUAAUCAUUUUUUUGUCUCUCUUGAGAUAUAACUUGGUGGAGCACCUGUAGGAAUUGUCUUAUUGAAAAGCUUAUUCCAUUUGUGUUGGUGUUGGAAUCAGGAAUCAAGUUCCCAGUUUGCAAUGGGUGUUGCCUUUGGCGUUGAUCCUCCAAAACAACAGGUUUUUGCUUUCUGGUCUUAUUUUGAUUUUUCAGAUUAUUGAUAUUUUUGGCUCUUCUCAGUAGUGGAUCAUUUGAAUAGGAAACUAAGUUGUUUUUAGAGUUCUCUUAGGCCAAAUAUUACUUCACUUUUAUCCUCAUUUUAUUUAAAGACAUUAUAUUCAAUUUGCCUGCCAUUGAAAUUAAUAUCAUGUUGUCAUGAAUGUUAAAAACUAUGCAUAUGAGUUAUUAUGGGAAGGAUAAUGUCCCACUUCAAUCUUGUCUCAAAUCUUGUUGUGCUGGAAUUUGUCAGGUUGAUGUGGACAUAGCAACCCACAUAAGCAUCUAUGAUGAUGGCCCCAACCGAAGGUAAUGCAUAAUUCAUUCUCUUAUCUAGAUGAUGGGGCUUUUGCUAUCCACCAAACUUUGGUCCCACACUAUUACUACUCAUACUCCAGCCCAAGUGGCAAUUUCCUGCCCAUAACUGAAGUAGUCAGAUAAUUUGGCCCUUACUAUUUUUGUUUAUUUUACCUUUUGUUUUAUUGAAGUUUGCUUUUGGUGGAGACGGCUGAUCGACCUGGAUUAUUGGUGGAUCUUGUAAAGAUUUUUACUGUCAUCAAUGUCAAUGUUGAAUCGGGAGAGUUUGAUACUGAGGUAGUGAGGUAAUCUUUUAUAACAAACUCUAUAUAUAUAUAUAUUGACAAAAGAGUGGCCUUCCCUUAUAAAUAUAUUUUGUUCUAAUUUUUGUUUUCGCACCCAGGAGUUGUUGGCUAAGGCAAAGUUUCAUGUCAGCUACAAGGGUGAAGCCAUUAUCAAGCCUCUCCAACAGGUAAAAACAACAGGCCUACAUAUAGGACAUCGGAAAUUGCUUUAUAGAUUGUUUGCUCUGAAGAAUAAAGAGACUUACCAUUUCUACUCAAAAUCGGUAUUCUAGUUGCAAAACUGUUCUUAUAUAAAAGAUUUGAAUUUAAACUUUGAAGUGGGCGGUAAGAACAUUAACGUGCUAAUGAUCACACGGUGCACCUGAAGGCUUGGACGAUCGUUGAUGUACUGAUUAGACUUUGCUUGAUCAAAUUUGCAGGUUCUUGCUAACAGUUUGCGAUAUUUCUUGAGGCGACCAACAACCGAGGAGGCAAGUUUUUGAGCUCUUGUUGAAGACUCCACCAACCAAAUUCAGGAUUACACACACUUGAUGAAUUUUUUUAUUUCUCUCCCCAGUAAACAUUCACAAGGGGAAUUACAAUAUGUUGUCUCCCUAAUCUCCUUACAUAAAAUAAAUAAAACAUGAGAUAUAUAUAAACGGACAACAUUUUAAUGAUAUAUCAUAUGGUAAACACUUAUAAAAUAGAAACCUUGCUAAUUUUAUCAUCCUCAUCAAUUCAUAGUCCUUUUUAAAUAAUUUUCAAGUUUAGGGAUAUGAUAUAGCUGUGUUGUAUUACUCAUAUUAAUCUUAAGCCUAAAGUUUGCAAUGGGUUGAUGAGCAUACAACCUUUUUCUAUUCAUGGAUUAAAAUAAUAAUAAUAUUAUUAUUAUUAGUUUUUUUUUUUUUUAUGUGAACCUUAGUUUACAUCCUAAAUUUUCCUAUAUCAACAUUUCAUUCCAGUACGCAAACAAGAUACAUCACUAUGGUUUCUUUAAUUUCAUUCUGUUUUCAUGCUUUGAAAAUUAGCGUCAUGACAUUGAUUCAGCAACUUUCACAAAACAGAAACAUAAAGGAGAUUUUUACCAUGUGGCUUUGGUGCAUUGGUCAUCAAAAUCUGCACAAUUAAUUAUAAAGAAUAUACGAUGUUUGCGCGUGCAAUUAUGAACGACUCAUCUUAUAUCAACUUAAGGGCAAAAUUAUUUUAAAAUCUCUUUGUAUAUAUGUUACAAUGUCAUUAAUUUUUUUUGUCAAUGGUCAUAGUUUAUUUAAUUGGCUACCAUUUUUAAGUUUCUUAUGACAGUUAACGGGUGAGGUAAAUCGAACACUUAAUUUUUUUAUAUUUAUAUCGUCAAUGGUGGAUUCAAGAAAAUAAUUUAUCGAUGACUAAAUUAUAUGACGACACGAUUCGAAAACUCAAAUUUUAUAGGUUUAAUAAAAACUAAAUUAAAUAAUAGUAAACCACCUAUAUGGGUUACCUCAUAACUUUUUAUAUUUUAAUUAAAGUGUGGUUUUUGUAAUUCUCAAAAUUAAAAUUUUAUAAAUUUUGAAUUUAUAAGACUAUUUUUAUAAAUUUAACUUGCCUAUUUUAAUAUAUUCAACAGAAUUAAUUAAUAACUCAAAUAUUUUUUUUAAUUAUUCUCUCUGUCCCACUAAUCAUGAGGUGAAUCCACCUCUAUAUCUCAUUUUAUAUUGUGUAAUCUCGUUAUGACUAAAAAGUACCUCCCUUAGAUUCAACUACUUAUCUAGGGAAAGUUUUUAAAAGCUGAGUCCACAAGCCAUGUCCCAUAACUUAGAUGACUGAAAAACAAAAACAAAACAAAAGGGAACAAAAGAAGGCCAUGCGGCCCAUGCUCUGCAAUGAGUGCUCCCUAAUGAUCAAGAAAGAGUAUUAUAAUUUAAUAUUUAUCCAAACAGAAAAUGACGUACACGGGAACAAUAAAUGAUCUCCCUAGAGAUGAGAGAAAUGGAUAACAAUAUUCUCUUAUUUAACUUCACUAUAUAAAGAGCUCUCUAUCAAAAUCAUAAUUCAAUUCAUUCCACCCACAUUGUUUGGAAAGAGAGAAAGUGAGAGAAAAAAGAAGGAAAAUAUGACAGGAUCAUUUGCUAGAGGAGCUCCCACCUUUAACUCCAUGUUUUUCAAGUAAUGUUUUCAUUAUCUAUCUACUUUGCUAUUUCAUCAUUUCAUUUUGACAAUCGCACUUCAUUAUUGCAUGGUAUGUUUGUAAAUAAAUGUUUUCACUUUAUCUAAAUUAAUUUUGUUAUGAAACAGUUCGUUCGAAAUAGGCCUAAUAGUUUCAAAUUAUUUAUUUACUAAUUAUGAGUGGUUGGUUAAGUACAUAGAAUUAAAUGUUUUAUUAACUGAACCAAUAUGUCUCCACAGGGGCCUCAGGUUAAAAAAAAUUAUCAAGAAAUAUGAAAGUCUUCAAUUAAAUUUGUCUCUGUGUCUGAUAAUUUUAUUUUGUAGCCCCCAUAUGUUUAUAUUCUUGUGGUAUAACCUACUUAAAAUUUGUUGUUUCUGUAUGAUUGAUGACAUCCAAAAUCCUGAUUUCGCCACUGUCCACGCAAUAAUAAAAAGAGAUUGCUUUCAUUCAUUUGAGUGUUUGAAUAUUUUACUCUUUGUUUUUGCAUUAUUAAUUUGUUGAGUCUUUUUGAAACAUAUAGGCCAAUGAUGAGGAAAUCCUUUCAAAAGAAAACAAGUUCUUAUGAUAUGAUGAGAGAAACAACAUUGAAAUCCAAUGCAGAAGAAGGAAAUGUGAUGAGGAGCCAACAGUUGAAUAAUAAUGUGGGAGAAAAUGAAGGGAAUUGUGGUUGGGUUCCUCAUGAAAGAACUGGGAUUUAUUACCCAAAAGGCCAUGAAAAAGUUAUUGACGAUGUUCCUCCUAGCGCUGGAAGAGAUUUUGAAGUUAAUUGGUUCUCAGAAACUCAUGGAUAAUUUAUGGAUAUGUUUUUUUUUUUUCAAAUUACUACACAUGCUUAAAGCGAAAAGGCUUUCUAUUGUCUCAAAGCAAAAUCCGAUUGUGAAAAAAAAAAUUAAAAUAAAAUAACAAUAAUGGAAAAUGAAAUCAUUUAGAUUCAGCUCAAUGCUAAGCAUUCCAAAAUUUAAGUUUCAAAAGAUAUGACAAUCAUUUAUUAGAUGGUGGUUAAAUAAUUUUACAAGUUAUGAAAUCUAUCGUCUAAUAAAUGAAUAACGUGUGACUUUUAAGACUUAAGAAGUUAAGACUAAAAAAUUAGGAUCUUAAUAUUAUUCUUACUUUUAUAUCAUCUUUUUAUUUAGGUCUAUUGUUUAUUGUCGUCUGAUUCUUCAAGCUAAAUGUACAAAACUACAAAUGGAUUAGGUGGGCCUCGCAUGGGCUUAAUUUUUUGUUAUGGCUCAUGAGUGGUCCUAUUGGUACCCCUAAAAAACCUUCUCAAACCCUUCUUUUAUAAUCAUGCAUUUGUCCCUAUUUAAAUUUACAAUGAUAAACAGAAGAAAUUAAAUUUUAUUCAAAUAACUAGUCUCCAUAAUUACAAUCAUGUGAAACCAAAACUCGACUUAACAAUUUAUUAUUUAUUUUGACGAUAUUUAGUUGACAUUCCUUGUUUAUCAAAGCACAAUGUAUUUUCUUAAAUUUUGAUAAAAUUUUAAUUAUUUUGUUAUUAUUAUUUAAGAUGAAACCUUAAAAUAUCAAUAACCAAUGUUGGAUGUUGUUAUAAGAAAUUCUAAUGAAAAUAUUAUGGAAAUAGCUUUUAAAAUUAUAAGUUCUAAUGGAGAUAAUGAUUAUUCGAAAGUUGAUGCCAUCAGAUUUGGGUUUCAAGCUCCCCAAGACGAAGAAAAUGUGAAAAUGGGGUUGGUGUGUAAACCAAGGGUGUUUUUGGAAUCAACUUAUGUGGGUUUAGAAAUCGAGUGAGGCUAUAUACACUCUAAAAAUUACACUAAACACCAUAAUUUUAUAAAAAAAUUUAUUUCAAUAAUAUUUAUGGUAUAAAUUAUUAUUAAGGACAUGACAAUUAUUAAUUUUUUUUGUAUGACUAUAAUUACUUCUUUUUCAGUUAUAUUAUGAUGAUAUUAAACAAGUUUACAUUGGUUGCUUGAUUUUUUCUUUUGGCCAAAAAAUACAUGUCAUUCCACAAUACCAGAGUAACAUGGACAAUUAUUCAGACUCUUACAAACUAGUCUGCAACUGAGGCAUUACAACCCAGCAAACAUUUUUGCGACAUAAAAAUGUUCAGACAAAUCCAGAUUAAAAAAAAAAGGGCUUAAUUUACCAUCCUCUUUUGACAAACUUUGAAUUUUCUGACAUUCAAUUGGAGGUGGAAGUGGCAUCAUAGUUGUACUGAAGAAGAUCGUCAUAAGGGUCCCAGGCACCUACUCUGAAUCAUUCUUUCUUGUCCCUCUCUUUCAAGUCCUCCAUCAACCUCAAAAUCAUAUUCUCAGCAAUUAAAAAUUUCAUCUUCACUUCUCUUCUUGAUUCUAAGCUCAGAACUAUGAAGCGCAAGCUGCGUCUUUUAUUUAGCUAAAUGAUAUAUUGGUUAAUUGAUUUAUUUGUUCGGAUUAUAAUGUUUAUUUCUCACGAUCUUUUCAUUGGUGAAAUUUUUUGAUGGAUUUUUUUAGUUGCUCCUUUAUCAUUCUUCAUUUAUUGGAGAAAUAUAUUAUACAACCAAAUAAUUAAAUUUUAAUGAUAAAAGAGUGUUUAGAGAAAUAUUUUGAAUAUGUAAGGCGUUUUCAUGAGUGUGUUAGAGUAAAUUAAUUUAAAAAGGAUUAAAUGAGUACAUUUUUGGUACUUUAAGGAAUGUACAAAAUAUAGUUCAUUUUUUUAAAUUAAUAAAUAAGUGUAUAUAGUAAUAAAACUUUGAGAAUAAUUUUUAGACUACAAAUAACUCUGCCCUUAGAAAUAAUAUUAUUUUUUGAAUGAUUUAGUGGGCAUAUUGAAUAAAGAUUUUUAUGAGGGCUUUCAAAGGUGCGAUAGUUCUACUCAUGACUCAUUUUUCUGCUAUUAGGAUUUACUCUUUGUUUCGUACUUUCAUUUGAGUGGAGCUCUCUCUGUCUCUCUCUCUCUCUCUUUGGAAAUGGAAAGCUUCAAUCAAUCACUUCAAGGAAAAAGACUUACAUGAGUUGAAAUUUCCUCCAGCCAAAUUACACGGCCCGAAUUGUUAACAUCAUAUUUAUCUAAUUUAUGAGCGGUCUCACUACUACUGCUCAGUAUAAGAUUGAUUUUGAAGUGGUCUUUCACAACCAUACAAUUUCGAAUCUCGAAAAUUAACCAUGAUAUUUCUUUCAUACUUCUUUCAAAACCUUUCGCCAAGUUUAAAAUAGUCUUCGAGUCUGAUUCAACAAUUAAUGGCAUUAAACCAAAGUCUAUUGCCAUUUUUAUUCUAAAAUUCAUAUCUUCAGCUUUAGCAUAUUCAACGUCCCCAUGAAAAUCUAUAUUCUGAAUUCCUACACUCCAAAAUCCUUAUAAAGCUUGUUUUAAUUUUUAUUUAUCAAAGUACCUUGGUUUAAUUUAUAAAAUACUAAUCCAUAAAUUAAAAUUAAUAAUCUUCUCAUUAAAUUUCACCUUAAAAAGAUUAUAAAUUAUUAAAAGUUUCUAAAAAUUAUAUAUAUAUAUAUAUAUAUAUAUAUGAAAUGAGGUGGGUGGAAAAAUGUUAAAAGAAUAAUUUUAUUUAAGUAUUAAUUAAAUUUUCAAUCAAAAUAAAAAUGGAAUUAAUUUAUCUUUAAUUAUUUAAAUAAUUUUAAUUAAAGAGUUAUAAGGAAUUUAAAGGAGGGUCUUAUAGGGGGUGUCAAAAGGCUGCGAUCUAAUGCUUCCGUUCAUCACAAUCUGCUACUGCGAUUGAUCGCGAUCUGCAGCCGUGGUCGCGCUCGUCCUGUCGCCGUUUGUCGUCGCGAUCUGUUACCUUCGGUGAAGAGGAGCACAAUGUUUGUUUUGGGAAUUAUAAUUUUAUAUUUUAAAUUAUUAAUUUCUUAUAUUGUUUGGCCACUGAUUGUACAUUAAAAUUAUAUAGAUUGGUGUUUGUAUUAUUUCAUUGUUUGCUUAUUUGUUAUUAAUGUUAUUAUUGUUUAUUAUUAUUAUUAUUAUUAUUAUUGUAGUAUUAGUAGUUGUUAUUUAAUUUCAUUAUUAUCAUUAAUUAUUACUAUUAUUUAUUUAUAAUGUUAUUAUUAAAUUUAUUAUUAUUAUCAUUAAUACCAAAGGACAACUAUUAUUAUUAUUAUUAUUAUUAUUAACAACUAAGGGCGUUUUAGUAACUUAAAACAACUUAACAUAUUCCGAUUCCGAUUCUUAGAUAAAGUAAACACAUCAAUGGGGUUUUAACUCAUUCCGAUUCCAAUUCCGAUUGCUACAGUUUAAGUAAACAACUUAUUUUGAUUCUCAUUCCUCAUUUUCAUUCCGAUUCUAACCCAUUCCGAUUACUGACAAGUAAACGCAUUAUAAAGGAAAGGAAAAAAAAUUAAUUAUUUUUUUUACCAAAUAUAAUUAUAACAAAUUAACUAAAUAUUUACUAAGAGUUCAGCAUCUGAGUUCCCAAUCCAUAAAUAUGCCAGCAUUUUAAAACAAACAAGACUUAAGCGACAAAUACAAUUUUGUCGACGAGUAUAAAGGUCGCAUUAUAAGCCAAAGGCGAGCAGUUAAGAGAAGAUAAAAUUUUACCGUAUUAAACUUGUAAUUGUGGAUGCCUGGCCUGGUGUUAAAAAGGAUUUAGAGCCACAAAAAGUUUUUGACCAAACCAAAAAGAAGUAGCAAAGCAAAAAAAGGAUAAUAGCAAAGCAAUAAAUCUACAAGUCAUCACAAUCAUGCAACUCUAUAGCAAGAAAAAAAGAAAAAGAAAAAGGAAAUACAUAUUCAAACAUAUUAAUAAUAAGGAUCCUCCCAAAGUACGGCACAGGAAAAGAAAGCAUUUUGGGUGGCUUGUUCCUCCCAUUGUAGCUCUUCCCACCAUUUUUUCGUUCCCUCGAUGACAACUCGACGUCCCUUCGCGCUGCUGGAAUUGAGUGGGAGCUUCUUCAGCUGUCGGCAAUGAAAUACUUGAAUUUUCUUCAGCUUUGGAAAGGGCAGGGGAUUCGGGUAAACGCUCUUUAAAUUUGUUCCCCGCCACAUGGUUAGAUAUUCGAGUCGUGCGAAAAAGUUAUGCUCUGACCUGAUUAUCUCUGAAAUAUCACUCAAUUUAUCAACACUGAUUAUUUCUUCCAUAGUAAAACCCUGCAUAUUUAGCUGCUCGAGGUUUUGAACAAAAACAAGCCACGUUAAGUCCUUCCCUCUGCAAGACCUUAGGACAACUGUGUUAAGACUGCGGAAACCAUUUCGAAAAAGUUUCUUUACCUCUUCUGUGCUGUCAAUCUUCAUCUCUUCCAACUUAGAGGAUUCAAGUUCUAACUCCUGAAGAUUCUCCAUGUAUGCCAGAUGUAAGACAUUGAACGGUGGCCUUGUAUACGUGCCACAUUCAACCCAUACAGAUUGAGUGAUGCUCACCAGCUUUGGAUAUUUCAAAAACUUUUGGACAGCAAGUGAACUUCGGAAGGACCAGCUUAAAACAUUUAAAUGCUUCAAACCCAGCAAUUCCUUCAUCAAAGGUUCAGCAUCAUCACAUAGAACGUUACCUUCUUCUUCUUCUAUUACGCUCCAGCGACCGCGCGAAAGCAACCUGAGUACCUCCAACUUUGAAAAGCCAGAUAUCAACUGAGGUGGAAUUAUAGACAAAAACCGUGUAUGGUCCAAGUUCAAAUAUCUCAGCUUCUCCAAUGCCUUCAGCUCUUGCGGCAACCCAGUUAUAUUAGUCCGUGAUAGAUCAAGAUGAUGCAAUGAAACCAAAUUUGAAAUCCCUGAUGGUAGUUUACUUCGGGAAAGAUUUAUUCGUAGACUUAAUACUCUAAGAGAAGACAUCGAUUGAAAGAAGCCAUCAGUAAUCUCCUCAAUCCAAGUUCCAUCCAGAAGUAAAGUGACGAGACGUGGACACGUGGGAAUUUCCGAUAGGCUUUGAAUUCUAGUUUUCAUCAGAGAUAUCCGAUUGGCACCUUCCCAUUCUUCAACCUUUGGUGCUUCGGUCAGUUUAACUCCAGCGCGAACCAGAAAGUUCUGCUCCUCCUUGUCUACCGUGCACGCUAUCCAUAAUGACAUCUCACGAAUCAUAUCGUGCAUCUUUACAUGAUCAUCGCCUUCUUCCUCCAAUAAGCAUGCUUGAAGAAGGUCAUCAAUAAAAUCGCAUCCAUCAUCAAAAUCACACACAAAUCCUUCACUAAUCCAGUAAUCAAUCAAUUCCCUUCUAGGAAUUUCGUAGUCUUCAGGAUAUAAGCAACAAUACAGGAGACAG
This 22254-nucleotide long non-coding RNA is filed under the name Citrus maxima (pomelo). RNAcentral describes it as "long non-coding RNA (CMAX_LNC002008)". Lineage: Eukaryota; Viridiplantae; Streptophyta; Magnoliopsida; Sapindales; Rutaceae. The record is from RNAcentral.